This 253-nucleotide ribosomal RNA is filed under the name uncultured microorganism. RNAcentral describes it as "partial 16S ribosomal RNA". It matches the Rfam family "Bacterial small subunit ribosomal RNA", at positions 524 to 776 of the family's 1533-position model. The record is from RNAcentral.
UACGUAGGGUGCGAGCGUUAAUCGGAUUUACUGGGCGUAAAGCGGGCGCAGGAGGCCCGUUAAGACAGGUGUGAAAUCCCUGGGCUCAACCUAGGAAUUGCGCUUGUGACUGGCGGGCUCGAGUACGGUAGAGGGGGGUGGAAUUCCUGGUGUAGCAGUGAAAUGCGUAGAGAUCAGGAGGAACACCGAUGGCGAAGGCAGCCCCCUGGGCCUGUACUGACGCUCAUGCACGAAAGCGUGGGGAGCAAACAGG